UCGCGCUCGCUUCCAUUGCAAAUCGCGGCGCCUCCUCGAAACUUGCUUUUGUGGGAAUCGCCCAGCCCAGCGCUGCCCGGGCGUUUGCACCAGCGUGUUCCCUCCCAGGUGCCUGCCGCGGGUCUCCUCCCUGCUGCUCUCCCACGACCGCGACCACCUUAUUUAAAAAACGUGUGCAUGUAUGUAGAUCUACGCGAGGUCGCCCCCCGUCCUCCUCCUGCUGGUCCCACCUCUGCGCUCUCGUCGGCUUUUUCGCUGCGACCGGUGAUGGGGGCGCGGGGGGUUGGUCGGGCGGGGGCGGGUGGCGAGCGCGGUCCAGGGAGUGGCGGGCUCGUGUGGCCGGGCUCUGGUCGGCUACUUGGGGCAUCUCGGCUCUGCCUGCACCCGCCUGGGACCGCGGGGAGGGCUGUCAGCACCAGGGCGGCGGAAACGGGGAGCCCCACGUCUCCAGACGAGCGAGCGAGCGAGGGACGCAGGCUUGGGGGUGAUGGAGCGCUCGGCUGGGUGGCUGGCGAGCGUCCAGACAUCAUCGCUUUCCUUCCUACUCCCCCGCCCCUCUCCGGCUCGCUCUCUCAUUUCUUUCUUCCUUUCCUUUCACUGGCUCCAUUCUGUUCCCUCCCUUACCUCUUUUUUUUUUUUUUCCUCAUUUCCUUUUUACCCCCUUCCCUCUUGAGAUAAAAGAAAGGGGAAUCGUUUUGCAACCUUGCAUUCUAGGAGCAUGGGAAGAGCAGUGAAGCCUGCGGCGUGGCCACCUCAACCUGGUCGUUUUCAGACUCGUCGUCAUCCAUCAACAUGUUUGUGUCCUGAGUCUAUUGAUCUCCCCUGAUUUUGCAGAAAUGCAUUCUGAGCCGGGCGUCUGGAUGUCAAAAAUCAGAGCUCGCUUCCUUGCUCCCUGUAUGACACGUAUUGUAAGGGCUCCAUGUGUUUUAAAUCCACAUAAGCCAUGGUUAUAAAGAAACCCAUCUGUAAAAAAAUUCGGCCUUAUUCUAGAGAAACUUCUCUCUUAAAUUAUUGAUAGACCCUUUCCCUUCUUUGAUAUUUAAUUUUAGGAGACUUGGGAGACAGUUGUGUUUUUUUUUUUUUUUUUCUUCCAGUGUAUGAGGACCAUGCAACUUCUAUUACCUUAAUUAUCUCCUCUUCUAACCUCAUUCAGUUUUAUCCUUGGUCACUGGAGUGAGUAUUUCAUAACUAAGGUUUAGAGGCUUGCUUCCCUAAGUCAGGGCUGGCUAAGAAAACCAAGUGGGGGGCCAGGGUAUUCAGACCUGCCAAAGAAUAGAAGAGGCAUCUUUUGAAACUCUAGUGUCAAAAGCAUAACUAGAUUCUGACUUGAAUACUGAAGACAUGAAAAUAAAAUAAAUCCAGACGGCUUUUGGUUCUUAGCAUGUGUGUAACCAUAGUGGAUAGGAGUAAGUGAAAACUUAGGGAAAAACGGAGCCUAUAUUAUAGAACCCAUUCAGCCUUGUUUAUGUGGAGGCGCUUUUUCACGAUGGUUUUCUUUUUCUUUGAAACUUAAGAUGUCUGUGACAUGUGAAAACAAAGGGAAAAAAGGACUUGUUUAACCAGAAAUAGGAUUUAUAUAGAUUUCUUUUCUUUCUCAACAGAUCUAGUUGCUCUAAAGUUUUCCUGAGGUCAGACUAUUUCAUGGUUGAAAACAAUACUAAUCAAUGAUUUUUCCUUCACUUUGUUUCAGCGGCGUACACAGUUCCUCUAGAAAGAGGUCUUAGUUUUAGAGAGCUCCCCUUGCCUUCUUUCCUUUGUCUGCACAUUUGUUUUUAAAUUCAACUGUUAAUAUAGAAUAAAGGAUCUGGGAGCAGAGAAUGGAUCAGGAAGAAGAGAAACUGCUAAGAUGAUGGAAACUAUAUCCAAACCAAUAAAAGAUAGAUAUUGCCAUGCCGACCCCCCGUCUUUGUUUUUAGUCAGUUGAGAAGCUGUGGGUUUUAACUGUGUUUUCCUCUUCUUAAUUCUGCACCUAAUGCUUUUCGUACCUGAGGUCAUGUUUAUCCAGUUCAAAUGAUUAUUUACAAAAGACUUAAAUCCGCGUGCCAGUGAAACCCCAAAAGCAUGCUUUUCCUCUCAUGUUUUUGUCACCUAGUGAUAGCGGUGGUGGUCUUACAUUAUUGGUUGCAUCUGACUUUGGGUUUUUGGUGUUCUUUGGUUGGGUGGCUGGGUAGGUUGCUUGAGAUACAUUUAUAGGAUAGUCCUGGCAGGCUGCAUGGAACUUGAAUGCACAGUUAAUUGUAGAUGCAGUAAAGUGUUUGUUUUUCUUGUUGUUGGUUUAAGAGAUGUCAUGCCUUCCUGCACAUUUCAUGUUUUGGUGUGACUACUCCUUUGUGUGUGUGUAAAAGGUUCACCAUAAAGCAGGGCCUGAUGAAGGCCUGUGUGAUUUGAGGUUAAAAGGUAGAUUAGUGACAAGACAUAAAUUACUUUCUUAUUCGUAUACAUUGAUCCUGGAACUGUUUUCUCCCCUUGUGAUUGCGUCUGUAUGUGGAUCCUUUAAUGAAAGGUUGGCAAUGUGAACUGUCUAUUUAUGUAAAGAGGAAAACGCCCUCAAGUUUACUUGCCUCGGCUCCCCCUUUUUCAUGCAGAGGGAUUAACAGAUGCUUUUGAUGUGGUAUUUCAACAGCUGUUUUGCUGAGCACUGCUAAUUGCCAAGAAUAUGCUUUCUUGAUUCUGGCAUUGGUAUAAGACAUCUCUCAAGGUGUCUGGAGGGCUCCCAGUGACUCGCCCUUGUCACCCAUGGUGACCCGACGUGGCAGGCUGAAGUCUGGACACAGAUGGACACUUCGUGAUCCUUCAGAGACUUGAUAGGAAAAACGUGCUGCCUCCUUUACGUGGACUGGCAGUAACUUUUGGACUUGAAUCAGGACGACUCCCAGCUUUGCAAUUCCCCUUAGCCCUCAUUCACCUGAGGAGUGUGUGAAAUCCUCAGAAAACAUGUCAGUGCCUUUUUCUUUUAAACUGAAAAGAAUUUUUGAAGACCUGUGUUUGUGUAUCUGACUUUGUGUGCAGCCGGGACACUUAGGAUCAGAAUAUCACCAAAUCAAACACGAGAGGCUGUGUCAACUUUAGAAACGUUGGGAGCCAGGGAGGUGUGUUUGGAAAUAGGAGCCAAGAGGCCAAGGUUAAAUUCUUCCUUCUUACUGCAAUGCAAAGUUAUUCUUGGGGUGGCCUCCUUGUUCAUAGAGCUCCUUUAGCUUUGUUUUCUCUAGAAGAAAAAUGGGCAGCGUAGUCUUUUUCCUGUUUUUGAAUUGUCACAUAUAUGUGAACGUGACAUAAUCAUGUGUUCACACAAAUCACGUGUACACAGAAUCAGGUGCAUGUACUGUACGUAUGCAGCAGUGGUGGAUACUAACACACACACACACCACACAUUCGGAGGCAACAGACAAGACUUCUGAUGAGAGGAAGGAAAUCUUUCCUGUACCUUUGACACAUGGGUAAUGACACUAAGUAUUUCCUUACCUGCCGGAAAGGGCAAACAAGGUGCUGUCUGUUCUGUGGGUAUGGGUAGUGGGUGUGCAGGGACUAACCGCCUAACGUAAUAGGCAGAACUGAAUGACCCCAGCAGGUAAUACCCUUGUGCUUACAUGAACGUAAGUAAGGAGUACAUUUGUUUAACAAACCACUUAGGAUUGACUCCUUCCCCUCCCCCGUUUUGUAAGGAAAAGUAAUUUUCUGUAAGGUUAAGUGGACCUCAGGGUAGGAAGAAUCCCCGGAGCGCUCUUGCUGCCCAGACUUCAUUUUUCCCUCCCGAGUCUGUCAGCAGUAAUAUCUGAUAUGAGCCUCUGGUGGUGAUGUUUCCAUAGGUCAUCAUCCUUCUCUGUCCCAGAUGAAGUCUCAGGACAAGCCCUGCAGUAGCACAGAUUCUGAAUUCAGUGCAUCAUUCAAGUUGGUUACAUAACUCAGAGGCCUUGGGUUUGUUUUUUUCCCCUUAAAGCUCCAGGUCUUUGGAAUUGGAUCUAUUUACUCUUCCCUUGUUUUCUCUAAACAUUGCAAAGUUGAUUUUACAAUAAGCCCCGUGCCUGUCAGGAUUUAAAAGCUGCUUGUUCGUGUCAUUAGAUUUACAAUGUUUGGACAAUGAUACUUUUAUUUUCAGUCUGGGCCACAUUUUCACAAGAGCCAUAGCGAUUAGGACAACUGCUGGUCAUGUGCGUUUGGGAGACUACUUGAGAUCGUGGCACCUGGAGAUUUCAGGGCUGGAAGCAAUACCGGUGACGUCGGCCGAAGUUCUCCAGAGAAUGGACUGGAAAGUCAGCAGUUUUGACAAGAAGUGAUUUGCAACAGUUGAGGUACAGUCAGGAUUUGAAAGAAAAGUUCGUUUCUUUGCUCUUGCUUCGUAGAUUUUUAGAUGCAGUCCAUUUCUAUGUACAACUUAGAUCUGCUGUUCAGUCUCUUCUCUGGGGAACGUCACUGAAGCCUCGGGCAUAACUUAGUGGCUUUUGAUAGCUUUGUAGGCAUAGCACUGAGGAAGAAAUGGUACCUUUUCAUAUGCUCAUGUUGCAGUUCCAAACAUGAGCAUGAGGUCCAUCCUGCUAGGAGUUUUGUUUUUUGUUUUUUCCAGUCGCAAGAAAUAUUUAUGUUACUGUCUUUUGUUACCUCAUGAAGACAGGAUCAAACACCUUGGCUGCCUGAUUGUAUUGAUCCAUGUUAAGGCAGUAUUGUAAAAUACUUAAAGAGGUAGCUUCUGGAGUAGAUGCUUGAGUUUGAAUCCCAGCUCUGGCACUUGCUCUGUAGGUUAUUUUUGGUAGUUUUCUUAAUCCAAGUCUUAGUUUUCUCAUCUGUGAAACCAGUGUUGAGGGGAUCUUGGUAAAGAUUAAAACUGGAAGGCUGUUAAUGUAUUUAGGACUGCUUCUGACACGUAGCAAAUCUUCAUUUCGCAUUCACUGCUGUUGCUUUACGUCUCAACAAUGGCAGCAGUAUCAGAAUCCAGUUAUUUUUCUGUUUAGAGUUUUCCUUCUAAGUCUGACCUGAACGUGUGUCAUAAUACUCGUCCACAUGGAACUUGUGCCAUCCCCUCCUCUCCACCCCCAACCCCCAACCUCCCGCCUUAGCUUUUCUCUAUAGUCUCAAGCUGAGAAUAAUGCCCGCGUGCCUGGGAGAUAAGAAUACAUUUAUUUAGAGGGGAUCCAUUGUUCUCAUUUCUAGAAAAGCUUAUUUUAUAUUCAGUGGCAACUGAAUUAUCCAUGGAUUUUUUUAAUUCAAAAAUUGAAACACAACAUCAGGAUUAGCUGUAGAAGCAAUAUAAUAUGUCGGCCUAAAAAACUGACAAACGUAAAACUUCUAGUUUUAGUACUAUAGUGCUGUUGACUCACAAGCCAGAACCUAUUAUCACCUAUUGUUAAGCCUGCUAUUAUAACCCUAACGUAAUCCUAAAGCUACAAACUUUUACUAAAGAAGGGUGCUGAGGAAUUUUUUUUGUGGAGACACUUGGAGGCUCAUUGAUGACAAAAGUUGUUUGUUUAAAGAUGGGAUGUUUCAUCCUUGCUUCUUGCUUAGGGUGCUCCAGGAUGAAGAGAUGCAUUGCGUAGGUGUAAACUUCUUUGCAUUUUAAGGAGAUGUCUUCAUCUGCAAAAUGAAUGUAUUGCAUUAGUAUAUAUACCUCUUUAUUCAAAACUUUUCAUAGUGAAAAAUAGUAAAAGCAGAAGUAGAAAGGAUGGUAUAAUGGAAUCCCAAGGGCCUGUCCUCCAACGGCAGCAAAUGAGGUAACCUCCUAAGAUCCUCCCUGAUUCCGUGAUUCUCUGACCACGGAAAUUCUGAUGCAGUGUGGUUUUGAGGAUCUAGACCACCUGCUUCUUAAAUAAUAUUGAUCCUGCUGUCAAUAAUAUUGAUACUGAAGUGAUAGGUAUUAAGUGAUAACAUUGAACAUUUAAUGGCAAGUCAAUAAAAUAACAGACACAAAAUGAUACGUAAGAAAUGUAUUGGAAUUGAAUAAAUGCAAUGCCAGGGUUAAAAACUCUGGGCCUAGUUUGAUCCAACAGACAUUUAAUGGCUCCCUCGAAGAUGUCAUCCAGUAGCCUGAUUGAUGCCAUGUUGUCAUAUUUAAGAAUACUUUUCAAGAAACAGAGCUGUAAUGAGCAGUUCUAAAACUGUAUUGAGCAUUGUCUUUCUUUCACUUGGAAGCUUAUUUCAAGAUCGUAAAAGCCAGCCUCCAAGAUGGUCCCCAGGGAACAUUGCCUGUUGCUAGUCAUUCUCCUAUGAAUUCCCCUCCCAUAUUUUAAAAGCCCGGUUCUGUGUGACUGGUGGAACUUGGCAGUCGUGAUGGCGUAUGACGUGUGAGGCUGAGUUGUAGAAGACAUUGCCCCUUGGCCUUGCUCUCUUGGCUGACCCACUCUGGGAGAAGCCAGCUGCCAUGGUGUGGGGACACUCAAGCAGUCCCUAGAGGUUGACGUGGGAAGGAAGUGAGGACUGCUUAUGGCCAGUUUAUCAGCCAGAUGCAGGCGCCACCUUGAAGGAGGGUCCUUUGGCCCUGGUAAAGUCUUCAGUUGACUGCAGGCCUUGGUAACACACUGACUGUAUCGUCUUGAAUCAUCUAACUAAACUGCUUCUGAAUUCAUAACCCACAAGAACUGUGUGAGUCAUCACAUGUUUGAAACUGCUAAAUUUUAGAGUGACUGGUUAUGUGGCAGCACUGCAAACCCCCUAAACUGCCUCUGGGUUGUGGUUAUAAGUAACUAGUUAUCACUGUUUUAUGGAGGGUAGAAGUUAAUAGAAUUCUGGCAAAAUACUGUUUAAAUCUGCAUUUACCCCAAUGAUUUACUGGCACCCUAGCCUGCCUUUAAACUUUUGACUCAUCAGAACAGACCUUUUCUGGACAUUACCCAUAAUUAAAUGAGGGCAGAAGGCAUGAUGUCUCUUGUUUCUUAGGCUGCUAACCUGGAACUUAAUCCUAGCACUGCCAUUUGGCAGUGCAUCUGCUUAAAUUUUCAACUGUUAGAGUUUUGCAAGAAAGCAGGGGUGGAGGUUUAGCCGAUGCUUGGGUAAACCUGGAGUCAGUGUCGUAGCUGACGUUCAGGUUAGCCCUCAAAGAGCUCUCUCCACUCUCAGACAUAGAGAAACCCCCUAAGAUUGUGGCUUUCGUUGCUAGAGAAGCUAUUCUUCUCUAUUGUUAUCUGCUGAACAAGGUAAGAUUUAAAGAGCUCCAAAAAAAAUAUGCCUCAGAUAAGGCUGUGGUCAUUUUACCUAAUGUAGCCAUUCUUCAUGAGUCUGCACUUUGGUUUUUUGUGUAUAUUGUUAGGCUUCCCUUCUUAAGCAUGGUUUUGGAUUAUAUGAAUCAAUCUGGUUUUCUCAUUGUUAUAGGUUUAAGGGAAUCUAAAAAUUGGAUAUUUUAGGUAAAAUAGAUUCUAUAUAGGUACAAUAUUUUGGUACAUCCAAAAUGGUAUGGAUUAGAG
Molecule: long non-coding RNA, 7388 nt
Filed under: Sus scrofa (pig)
Lineage: Eukaryota; Metazoa; Chordata; Mammalia; Artiodactyla; Suidae
Description: lncRNA (ENSSSCG00000058759.1)
Source: RNAcentral